This 484-nucleotide ribosomal RNA is filed under the name uncultured bacterium. RNAcentral describes it as "partial 16S ribosomal RNA". It matches the Rfam family "Bacterial small subunit ribosomal RNA", at positions 30 to 507 of the family's 1533-position model. The record is from RNAcentral.
AUUGAACGCUGGCGGCAGGCCUAACACAUGCAAGUCGAGCGGAUGAAGGGAGCUUGCUCCUGGAUUCAGCGGCGGACGGGUGAGUAAUGCCUAGGAAUCUGCCUGGUAGUGGGGGAUAACGUCCGGAAACGGGCGCUAAUACUGCAUACGUCCUGAGGGAGAAAGUGGGGGAUCUUCGGACCUCACGCUAUCAUAUGAGCCUAGGUCGGAUUAGCUAGUUGGUGGGGUAAAGGCCUACCAAGGCGACGAUCCGUAACUGGUCUGAGAGGAUGAUCAGUCACACUGGAACUGAGACACGGUCCAGACUCCUACGGGAGGCAGCAGUGGGGAAUAUUGGACAAUGGGCGAAAGCCUGAUCCAGCCAUGCCGCGUGUGUGAAGAAGGUCUUCGGAUUGUAAAGCACUAUAAGUUGGGAGGAAGGGCAGUAAGUUAAUACCUUGCUGUUUUGACGUUACCAACAGAAUAAGCACCGGCUAACUUCGUG